UACGUAGGGUCCGAGCGUUGUCCGGAAUUACUGGGCGUAAAGAGCUCGUAGGUGGUUUGUCGCGUUGUUCGUGAAAACUCACAGCUUAACUGUGGGCGUGCGGGCGAUACGGGCAGACUGGAGUACUGCAGGGGAGACUGGAAUUCCUGGUGUAGCGGUGAAAUGCGUAGAUAUCUGGAGGAACACCGGUGGCGAAGGCGGGUCUCUGGGCAGUAACUGACGCUGAGGAGCGAAAGCGUGGGGAGCGAACAGG
Molecule: ribosomal RNA, 253 nt
Filed under: uncultured bacterium
Lineage: Bacteria
Description: partial 16S ribosomal RNA
Rfam family: Bacterial small subunit ribosomal RNA
Source: RNAcentral